UGAGUAACACGUGGGGAACCUGCCCCAUAGUCUGGGAUACCACUUGGAAACAGGUGCUAAUACCGGAUAAGAAAGCGGAUCGCAUGAUCAGCUUUUAAAAGGCGGCGUAAGCUGUCGCUAUGGGAUGGCCCCGCGGUGCAUUAGCUAGUUGGUAAGGUAACGGCUUACCAAGGCGACGAUACGUAGCCGACCUGAGAGGGUGAUCGGCCACACUGGAACUGAGACACGGUCCAGACUCCUACGGGAGGCAGCAGGC
RNAcentral lists this ribosomal RNA (256 nucleotides) under uncultured Lactobacillus sp. RNAcentral's name for it is "partial 16S ribosomal RNA". It matches the Rfam family "Bacterial small subunit ribosomal RNA", at positions 107 to 354 of the family's 1533-position model. Lineage: Bacteria; Bacillati; Bacillota; Bacilli; Lactobacillales; Lactobacillaceae. The record is from RNAcentral.